CCUACUGUUUAAACUUUAAGAUGAUCCCUAACUGGCUUAAAGUCCUCAACCCACAGCGGAGGAAAACGUUGCAAAAAAAAAAAAAACAAGGUCAUGCUGCAUUUUUUUGGUAAGCACAGGAAUCAACAUAGAGAUGUUAUAUAACUUCUAUUUAUAUCCUCCUUGCUCACUAUCUGCAGGCAGACAAGAGUCGCUGAGAAGGGAUUUAAUGAGCUCUCUGGGUUUGCUCACCUUCCUGAGCUGGUAGGAACCAGCUUGUUCUCAAGUGCGUCAGCAAAGAAUCUGCCUGUGGGUGGGCGGCCGGGGUAGGUGGACAGACUUGUUGCCAUGGUGUUCUUUAAUUCCCCUGUCUCUCAG
RNAcentral lists this small RNA (357 nucleotides) under Bos mutus (wild yak). RNAcentral describes it as "sRNA (ENSBMUG00000015944.1)". The record is from RNAcentral. Lineage: Eukaryota; Metazoa; Chordata; Mammalia; Artiodactyla; Bovidae.